UUGAUUAUAUUUAAUCCAAUCACUUAGUGAAUAAAAAUUCCUUUUAAUUCACCUUUCUUCUUUGAUGACUACAUUUAAUCAUCUAGAAGAACUCACAAGCUAUGAGUGACAUCUAACCAUAUGUCAUAGCUACCCAAGCUAAUGUAGAAGUUGUUCGGAGAACCUAUUUAGUUGGAAUUACAAUGUAAUUCGAUCAUUCUCUAAAACAAUACUCUCAAUGACAUUACUAGGGUAUGGAUAUAUUAUGUCAAACCCCUAAUGUGAUUAUUCCUUCUUAUAUGAUUCAAUUGAGUCGUAUAGGAACGCUUUCCUUUAUUACGCUCGAUACUUCGGCCGAAGAUUCCCGAAUCAUAUCUCAGAGUAUUCUUCCUCUCUUAUCGAGGAUUAGAGAUUCCUUGUUGCGCAUUCACUUGCCUUCAUGACUAAGUGGCUUAACCCCAAUUAUGCUGUGGACAUCCGCGAAUGGGGUGACUUUGACACAAUCAAAGAUUAAGUACUUAGCCACAAGACAACGACGAUGCCUCAGGUCAAAGGACUACUUACAUUAUUCCAACCAUUAGAGUUACUUGCUUGACAUGUGAGUAGACCUCCAUGCAAGUACUCUCGUUCGAUUGUGUUCAGUGAACUCAUUCCCUUAAUGAGCACUUACAUACUUGUCUUAGUGUCACUACACAAAUGGGAUGAGACUUUCCAUUCUUCCAUUUGAAGCGGACACAGUAUGUACCGGUCUAAGCAUUGUCAGUUUCCCUCCGACAAUCCAAUGACCAGGAACCUUUUGGACAUAAUGGUUAUGUGAAGAAGGUCUCUGUAGUCUAACAUCAUUAGAUUACCUCUUCAAUCGAUCCAUUGUCCAUGGAUUCACUAUUUAGGACAUAUAUCGUUUAUUGAGAUAGUCCUAAUUAGUAUCUUUGCCUUUUGAUGUAUAAGAGUCAUCUAUACAUCGAUUUAUUUGUCCUGAAAGGUUUCUUCCAAAGAUUGACUUUCAGGGCAUAUUUCCAACACACCAUAGGCUGAAUACAUAUUAGAGCCCACUUGGGUGAUGGUUUUGGAUGAUUGAUAAGGAACUGGUCAUGUGAAAUAGUUCCAUAAUUCUAGGGGAAAUACUCACUAUCUCAGAGAUUUCUUACUAAUCAUAGGUAUAACUGAUGCGUAAAAUAACUAAACACACAAAUUAAACCCUCUUUUUAUCAAUUGUAGUAAAGUAUGUAAGUAGGGAUCGUUCUAGGCUGGGGAUUAGGAGGGAUUGCUAAAUCACUUGGAAACUGACUUGAAAACGUGAAAACAAAGUUUAAAACACUAACUAGACCCAAAGAAUGCAAAACUAUACUUUAAAACACUAAAACAAACCAAAAGACUCAAAACAGCCCCUAAACACUCAAAACUACCUUAAAAACACAAUCUGGGCAG
Molecule: long non-coding RNA, 1407 nt
Filed under: Malus domestica (apple)
Lineage: Eukaryota; Viridiplantae; Streptophyta; Magnoliopsida; Rosales; Rosaceae
Description: long non-coding RNA (MDOM_LNC020306)
Source: RNAcentral